CGUAGACUAGGUGAAUCAUCGAAUCUUUGAACGCAUCUUGCACUUUUUAGGUCUCCUAAAAAGUAAUACUUGUUUGAGUAUCAUAAACACACACCUCCAAGCUUGUCUUGGGAUUUGAGACGUCAAGUUAGCUCGCUAACAUGUGUCUUUUAAUUGAUAUGUCCAGUGUUCUAUUGGUAGCCUAGCUACCCUUAGAAGCCUCCUCAAUCAAAUGUGAGAUAAACAUCGCACAAAGUAGUUGGUAGGUUAAGCUAGACUACGCUCAGAGGCAGCAAUGCUUCAACUCUGAACUGUGAUCUCAAAUCAAGUAAGACUACCCGCUGAACUUAAGCAUAUCAAUAAGCGGAGG
Molecule: ribosomal RNA, 349 nt
Filed under: uncultured Agaricales
Lineage: Eukaryota; Fungi; Basidiomycota; Agaricomycetes; Agaricales
Description: eukaryotic LSU rRNA
Rfam family: Eukaryotic large subunit ribosomal RNA (bases 294-349)
Source: RNAcentral